Bombyx mori (domestic silkworm) is the source of this 523-nucleotide long non-coding RNA. RefSeq lists it as uncharacterized. The transcript is spliced from 3 exons. Lineage: Eukaryota; Metazoa; Arthropoda; Insecta; Lepidoptera; Bombycidae. The record is from RefSeq and is a predicted model, not a curated record.
UCCUUUUCCGUUUGUGCAAGCGUGAAAUCUCGAGCGCUGUUAUAUUCGUGCAAAAAUUUUACAAAUUGCCCUUACGAGGAAUGAGAAAUUAACUUUUUACAUGGCAAUUCGUCUCGGACUGUGGAGUUAUUAAAAAGUUUCCCACGAUUUAUAAGUGGCGAACCUUUAGAUGUAGUCCUUUGCUGCUGCCAGUGAGCUCACUCCAAGCGGCACUGGAUCUUUGCUCGCAAUGAUCUACGUAGUCCAUUUCGACCAGGUCUAUCAUAGAAACCAGCCAUCUUCGAUCGUCGUCACUUGAAGACGUUCCUCGAAGAGUAGGACACGACGCAAGUAGUAAGAAGAAAACGGGGAGAGUGAACGUCCCCAUUGUGAACCUGAAAUAAAGAAAUCACGGUUUACGGAGAUCCGGAUUUUAAGCGGCCUACAUUCAACCUAAAUAUUAUGUAUUAUUCAUUAAAACUCACAUUCUAGAAGUAAUCAUUGCAAAAUUUAUUUUAAAUACAUAAAUAAUCGUUUAACUUUA